CACGAUUGAAAAGCAGGCGCACGUACCAAAUCCGAUCUCUUGGAAUCCAUCUUGACUUGGCUUGAAAGGCAUCUUUCUGUCACGUCCAUUUCACAAUGCCUAAACAGAUCCAUGAAAUUAAGGAUUUUCUCCUUACGGCACGGAGAAAGGACGCCAAAUGUG
Pocillopora damicornis (cauliflower coral) is the source of this 162-nucleotide long non-coding RNA. The record is from RefSeq and is a predicted model, not a curated record. NCBI's taxonomy places the organism in Eukaryota, Metazoa, Cnidaria, Anthozoa, Scleractinia, Pocilloporidae.